RNAcentral lists this long non-coding RNA (371 nucleotides) under Spirodela polyrhiza (greater duckweed). RNAcentral's name for it is "long non-coding RNA (SPOL_LNC001716)". The record is from RNAcentral. Lineage: Eukaryota; Viridiplantae; Streptophyta; Magnoliopsida; Alismatales; Araceae.
UCAGAAUGUUCAGGCCGUGGCUGGAGAGGAGUGUCGGCGGGAUCGGUCCGGAGAGGGCGUUGCAGUCCAGGUACACCGACGACAGCACUCGCAUCUUCCCGAGCGUGUUCGGGAUCCUCCCGCUGACUCGGUUACUGGACAGGUCCAGAUCGGCGAGCCGUUCCAUGUAUCCGAUCGAGGGGGGGAUGGCGCCGGUGAUCUGGUUCCUCGCAAGCAGCGCUCUACUCAGCAUUCCAAGUUUCCCGAACGUCACCGGGAUGUCGCCGGUGAUGCGGUUGUUGCUCAGGUCGAGGUGCAUCAAGGAAGCGAGGUUGGGGAGGGAUCGCGGGAUCUGGCCGGAGAUCUGGUUUUCGGCGACGGAGAGGACUGUG